This is a long non-coding RNA of Daphnia carinata, 1274 nucleotides long. RefSeq lists it as uncharacterized. The transcript has 4 exons. NCBI's taxonomy places the organism in Eukaryota, Metazoa, Arthropoda, Branchiopoda, Diplostraca, Daphniidae. The record is from RefSeq and is a predicted model, not a curated record.
GUUAAAGAACAGUAUUGUGAAACUGACUAUCAGGAGAACAUAAGUUUUACCCAAUCUUUCUACUAUCUUAUGUAUUAUCUGAUUAAUACAUCUGUGAUCUAUAGGAUAAAUUUCAGUAUUGAGGUUGUCAACAUAUAUGAAAUCCAACCUAUUGUAAUUCAGAAGUUGUGCAGCCGUAAUUGAUCCCGAAAGCCUUCAAAAGGAAGAAUGCAUGACAAGAAUGUGAGUAAAACAACCCAAAUGUGAGAUUUGUGAGAACCAACGAAGAGUGUGAGUAGGAUGCAUAAUGAGGUAUUAGCAACUGUAUGGCAAACAGUUAGCAAAAUAUAUUCUUGUGCCAUUCUUGACUGAACAUCGCUAACAGCAUACCUUUAUCACUAGAAGGAAAUUUGUAACAAUUGUCAAAAAAUAUAUAAUAGUAGUUGAACCUUAAUUAAUGCUUCUAGUGUAUGAAGAGGAAAAUUGUUUUUCAAUGAUGCACACUCUGCAUAAAACAUUGACUUUCCAUCUCAGUUAGUAUAUUGAAACCAUGACCUUGGCUGUCGGUGCUUUACCACAAAGAUAUUGUAUGAUAAAAUGAAAAGAUCCUGAUGAAAUUGUCUACGAUAUUUUUUGACGCUUACGAAACUAUUUGUUAACCAAUUGGAAAUCGUGUAAUAAUAAUAGCUCUGAGGUAGAGCGUCUGACUACGGGAAUCGAAAGUCAAGAGUUGGAGUCACAACUGGAAAGUGUUCUGUUAAGUCCGCUGAUGUGACAAGGAAGAAUAGUGAGCAAAUAUGUAUGAUUUGCGGCGUCAUGGUUGAGCAUCAGCCAGCUGUGCCAGAGGAUUGAGUUACGGUUUCCACUGUAGACAAUAUUACCUUUGUACAAAAAAUGAAUCACUCUAUUGUAUUUAUAGGUGACAUUCCGAGACGGAAAUAUUAAAUUGCGUUGGGACGCACAGCAAUAUUAUUACAAGUGCAAAUAGGUUUCCUUCAAAAGACCUGGAAAAAUAGUUAAGUAAUUUACAAGACUCAUGGCUCUAUGGUUGAGCAUCGGCGUCGCACGCAAGAAAUCAAGGGUUCAAUCCCCUAAAGAGUCAGAAUAAGAUUGAAUAAAUAAAUAUAAUUCAUAAUGGCAAAUUUAAUAUACAAUGCAUGUAUACAAUUCAGUAUCAUUAAUGCACUAAAAGUUAUAGAAUCUCCAUGAAGGGAGAUUAAAGUGCAUCGUUCCAUAAACAAUGAAGUCGUAUAAUAACGAAGUAUUCGCUCAUGACUGGGAGCAGCAAAAAUUGA